RNAcentral lists this transfer RNA (72 nucleotides) under Sphaerodactylus townsendi. Its description in RNAcentral is "tRNA-Ala". It matches the Rfam family "tRNA". Rfam says of the family: Transfer RNA (tRNA) molecules are approximately 80 nucleotides in length. Their secondary structure includes four short double-helical elements and three loops (D, anti-codon, and T loops). Lineage: Eukaryota; Metazoa; Chordata; Lepidosauria; Squamata; Sphaerodactylidae. The record is from RNAcentral.
GGGGCUGUGGCUCAGUAGCAGAGCAUCUGCUUGGCAUGCAGAAGGUUCCUGGUUCAAUUCACGACAUUUCCA